Molecule: ribosomal RNA, 919 nt
Filed under: uncultured archaeon
Lineage: Archaea
Description: bacterial SSU rRNA
Rfam family: Archaeal small subunit ribosomal RNA
Source: RNAcentral
UUCCGGUUGAUCCUGCCGGAGGCCAUUGCUAUCGGAGUUCGAUUUAGCCAUGCUAGUCGCACGGGUUUAGACCCGUGGCGAAAAGCUCAGUAACACGUGGCCAAACUACCCUAUAGAUCGGAAUAACCUCGGGAAACUGAGGCUAAUGCCGAAUACCGCUCCUGCACUGGGAUGUGCGGAGCUCGAAACGCUCCGGCGCUAUAGGAUGUGGCUGCGGCCGAUUAGGUUGACGGUGGGGUAACGGCCCACCGUGCCUAUAAUCGGUACGGGUUGUGAGAGCAAGAGCCCGGAGACGGUAUCUGAGACAAGAUACCGGGCCCUACGGGGCGCAGCAGGCGCGAAAACUUUACACUGCACGAGAGUGCGAUAAGGGAACUCCGAGUGCGAGGGCAUAGAGCCCUCGCUUUUGUACACCGUAAGGUGGUGUACGAAUAAGGGCUGGGCAAGACCGGUGCCAGCCGCCGCGGUAAUACCGGCAGCCCAAGUGAUGGCCGAUAUUAUUGGGCCUAAAGCGUCCGUAGCUGGCCGGACAAGUCCGUUGGGAAAUCCGCGCGCUCAACGCGCGGGCGUCCAGCGGAAACUGUCCGGCUUGGGGCCGGAAGACCUGAGGGGUACGUCCGGGGUAGGAGUGAAAUCCUGUAAUCUCGGACGGACCGCCUGUGGCGAAAGCGCCUCAGGAAGACGGACCCGACAGUGAGGGACGAAAGCCAGGGUCUCGAACCGGAUUAGAUACCCGGGUAGUCCUGGCUGUAAACGAUGUCCGCUAGGUGUGGCGCAGGCUACGAGCCUGCGCUGUGCCGUAGGGAGGCCGUGAAGCGGACCGCCUGGGAAGUACGUCUGCAAGGAUGAAACUUAAAGGAAUUGGCGGGGGAGCACUACAACCGGAGGAGCCUGCGGUUUAAUUGGAUUCAACGCCGGG